AGCGAACGCUGGCGGCAGGCCUAACACAUGCAAGUCGAACGAACCUUUCGGGGUUAGUGGCGGACGGGUGAGUAACACGUGGGAACGUGCCUUUAGGUUCGGAAUAAUUCAGGGAAACUUGUGCUAAUACCGAAUGUGCUCUUCGGGGGUAAGAUUUAUCGCCUUUAGAGCGGCCCGCGUCUGUUUCGCUAGUUGGUUGAGGUAAUGGCUCACCAAGGCGACGAUCAGUAGCUGGUCUGUGAGGAUGAUCAGCCACAUUGGGACUGAGACACGGCCCAAACUCCGACGGGAGGGAGCAGUGGGGAAUCUUGCGCAAUGGGCGAAAGCCUGACGCAGCCAUGCCGCGGGAAUGAUGAAGGUCGUAGGAUUGUAAAAUUCUUUCACCGGAGACGAUAAUGACGGUACCCGGAGAAGAAGCCCCGGCUAACUUCGUG
Molecule: ribosomal RNA, 434 nt
Filed under: uncultured bacterium
Lineage: Bacteria
Description: partial 16S ribosomal RNA
Rfam family: Bacterial small subunit ribosomal RNA
Source: RNAcentral